Papio anubis (olive baboon) is the source of this 1795-nucleotide long non-coding RNA. Lineage: Eukaryota; Metazoa; Chordata; Mammalia; Primates; Cercopithecidae. The record is from Ensembl.
ACUUCACCACAGUGGGAAAAGGGUGGCGACAAAUGGAUUCUGCAUAAUCUUCUUAAUGUGACAACUUUCCAUUUCAAACAGGCAGGCACUGAGACAUCAAAGCAGCCAAGUGCCGCCCUGACGUUGAGCCCACCGAGUGCUGAGUGCCGCGUGCCGCGAGGCUGCUGCUGUUGGCUCUGCGUGAUCAGGAGAGCGGAGAUCAAAGGUGCCCAUUAUGUGCUGAAAUACCUGAAGUUGGAAAACACCACAAGAAAGCCAAGCCAAAACAAACAAAGACCCUGCAGCGGUAAUGCUAUUCCUGAGUCAGAGAGAGAGAGCUGGAUCCAUGCAUCACAAAGGCUUUCUGUGCUCAAUGAAAACAUUCAAAUCUCUUAUGAGAUCCAGGAGGUCCCUCCUGCUUACCGAGGUUUGUUGGUGUUUUAGCUUCCGUUUUCUUGGUUUUGAUUUUGUGUUUCUCUCUGCAGAAGAUUGUUUCAUUACAUUUACUUAGAGCUUUCCCUUGAGAAAAUCUCAUUCAUUCAAAAUAGCAGCUUCCAUUUACUGAGUGUGUACAAUGUGCCAGGUGCUGGUCUUAUUCAUUCCCCCAAAUAGUUAUUCACGAAUGAAUAAAUGCUCUUCUAGACACCGAGUGGUACAAGACUGCCAUGGUCCCUAGCCUUGGAGUCUACUGGGGAUGGCAGAGAUUAAGCAAAUAUUUGCUUGAACAAAGUUGUCAAAUCAUAGCUUAAAGUGUAAAGGUGGACGUUAGAUUACCUCUAAAUUAGGGAUUUCUUUUCAAUGAGGAUUACAGUAGGGAAAGCCAACAGGAGUAGGCAAAGCCAGUAAGAAUUCCUUCAAAACACAAGGAAAGGAGAGACCGCUGCAAUAGGAAAGUGAAUAAAGGUAAUGAAUAACAAUUCACAGAAAUGGGAGUCCAAAUGACUAAAAAAAUCCACGAAAACAUGUUCACAAUGCAAGUUAAAAUUAAAACAAGACAGUGCUUUACAUGCAACAGAAUAGCAACGAUCAGACCAGGGACAGGCUCACAUGUUGAGAAGGCUGUGGGCUAAUGGGAGCCCUGGAGUGUAGACUGCUGCAGCCACCCCAGAGGACUCGGCCCAGUGCAGUGUGUGGGUUGGCCUGGUGCCAGCCGCCCAACUCCUCCUAAGCGUCUUGGAGGAACCCUGAUCCAGACCCAUCGGGAAAUACUCACAGAGGAUUGCCUGUCUGUCUGUUUAUGAUACAACAAGGUGUGGGAACUUGGUGUCCAUUACAGAGUGCUGGAAAUAAAAUAAGGUGGAAACAAACUGUGCAAUAACACAAGGCAGCACCGAGAAGCAAUAAUCUAGCUGUAGGUAGAGCAACACGAUACAUCUUGAAAACUUACGGUCAAGUGAAAACGAAGAAGAAACAGAAUGAGAUUUAACGUCUGAUGUAACUCACAUAAUUUAUGGCAUAUGUAUAUCUACCAAACACCACUACAUCUUUUACAAAGAGAUGUGCAUAUUUAAGGACAUGCAUAUUCAGUGUGUCAAAUACGUUGGAGUUGGCUCCCGCGUGCAUCUAGGAAAUGAGGGUGGGAAUAAGAAAUGAGGGAGCGAGCUAUAUAUCUCUAUCUCCGUAUCAUGUGUACUUAUAUCUAUGUUGACGUCAAUUGAUCUAUAAAUUUUAAUAUAGAAGUAGACAAGGCAUAGUCUGUAUAUUGUGGAAUAUAAACUCAUCUCUGCACUCAAUGUGCACAAACCACCAAAAUAGAAUCUUUGAAAACUACCCCCAAAAUGGCACCAAUAAUGAUGUAACUACAGUGGUGACGAGG